UGCACUCACUACUGUAAGUCACUUUGGAUAAGAGAGUCUGCUAAAUGACAUGGA
Molecule: non-coding RNA, 54 nt
Organism: Salmo salar (Atlantic salmon)
Lineage: Eukaryota; Metazoa; Chordata; Actinopteri; Salmoniformes; Salmonidae
Source: Rfam